This 464-nucleotide ribosomal RNA is filed under the name uncultured bacterium. RNAcentral describes it as "partial 16S ribosomal RNA". It matches the Rfam family "Bacterial small subunit ribosomal RNA", at positions 28 to 506 of the family's 1533-position model. The record is from RNAcentral.
GACGAACGCUGGCGGCGUGCUUAACACAUGCAAGUCGAACGGAAAGGCCCCUUUGGGGGUACUCGAGUGGCGGACGGGUGAGUAACACGUGAGUAACCUGCCCUUGACUUCUGGAUAACUUCAGGAAACUGGGGCUAAUACCGGAUAGGAAUCCUUGCUGCAUGGUGGGGGUUGGAAAGCUUUGGCGGGUUUGGAUGGACUCGCGGCUUAUCAGCUUGUUGGUGGGGUAGUGGCUUACCAAGGCUUUGACGGGUAGACGGCCUGCGAGGGCGACCGGCCACAUUGGGACUGCGAUACGGCCCAGACUCCUACGGGAGGCAGCAGUGGGGAAUAUUGCACAAUGGGCGGAAGCCGGAUGCAGCAACGCCGCGUGCGGGAUGACGGCCUUCGGGUUGUAAACCGCUUUCAGCAGGGGCGAAGCUUGUGGUGACGGUACCUGCAGAAGAAGCACCGGCUAACUACGU